GCAGAAGGCUGGACGGCCGCGCGGAAGGUGCGCCUUUUGCGAGGAAAGUCCGGACUCCCUAAAGCAACGGUGCCGGGUAACGCCCGGGCGGGGUGACCCGACGGAUAGCGCCACAGAAAACAGACCGCCACGUCCCGGGAGCCGUCAAGGCAAACGGAGCAGACGUGGUAAGGGUGAAACGGUGGAGUAAGAGCCCACCGCGCCGCUGGCAACAGGGGUGGCACGGCAAGCCCCACCGGGAGCAAUGCCAAAUAGGGUCCCCGCGCGGGCAGGUCGGUGCAAGCCGAAACCGCCGCUAGGCUUGCUUUAGCCGAGAGGGACCGGGUUGGCAGCUAGAGGUGCAUAGCAAUAUGCGCCGCAGAGGAAUGGUCGUCCAAGGGGCGCAAGCCCUGGGACAAAAUCCGGCUUACAGGCCUUCUGCGCGC
Molecule: RNase P RNA, 425 nt
Filed under: Phaeobacter sp. CECT 5382
Lineage: Bacteria; Pseudomonadati; Pseudomonadota; Alphaproteobacteria; Rhodobacterales; Roseobacteraceae
Description: Bacterial RNase P class A
Rfam family: Bacterial RNase P class A
About the family: Ribonuclease P (RNase P) is a ubiquitous endoribonuclease, found in archaea, bacteria and eukarya as well as chloroplasts and mitochondria. Its best characterised activity is the generation of mature 5'-ends of tRNAs by cleaving the 5'-leader elements of precursor-tRNAs.
Source: Rfam by way of RNAcentral